AGCAGCCGCGGUAAUUCCAGCUCCAAUAGCGUAUAUUAAAGUUGUUGCAGUUAAAAAGCUCGUAGUUGAAUUUCGGGAUUGACGUGAUGGUCGUGCCUUACGGGGUAUGAACUGUUGCAGUCAAUUUCUCACCUUCUGGAGAAAUAUGAUGUCCUUAAUUGGGUGUCAUAUGGAACCAGAACUUUUACCUUGAAAAAAUUAGAGUGUUUAAAGCAGGCUUAUUGCUCGAAUACAUUAGCAUGGAAUAAUAAAAUAGGACGGCAUGGUUCUAUUUUGUUGGUUUCUAGGAUCACCGUAAUGAUUAAUAGGGAUAGUUGGGGGCAUUAGUAUUCAAUUGUCAGAGGUGAAAUUCUUGGAUUUAUUGAAGACUAACUACUGCGAAAGCAUUUGCCAAGGAUGUUUUCAUUAAUCAAGAACGAAAGUUAGGGGAUCGAAGACGAUCAGAUACCGUCCUAGUCUCAACCAUAAACGAUGCCGACCAGGGAUCGGCGGAUGUUACUUUUAGGACUCCGCCGGCACC
RNAcentral lists this unclassified non-coding RNA (520 nucleotides) under uncultured Glomus. Its description in RNAcentral is "SSU rRNA". It matches the Rfam family "Eukaryotic small subunit ribosomal RNA", at positions 569 to 1087 of the family's 1831-position model. The record is from RNAcentral. Lineage: Eukaryota; Fungi; Glomeromycota; Glomeromycetes; Glomerales; Glomeraceae.